This is a long non-coding RNA of Octopus sinensis (East Asian common octopus), 85 nucleotides long. RefSeq lists it as uncharacterized. The record is from RefSeq and is a predicted model, not a curated record. The transcript has 3 exons. NCBI's taxonomy places the organism in Eukaryota, Metazoa, Mollusca, Cephalopoda, Octopoda, Octopodidae.
UGGUUUCAGUUCCUGAACUGGGUGAUGCAUUGUGUUCUUAAGCCAAAGAUUUCAUUUCAUGCUGCCCCAGUUAGCUGCAAAUGAG